CGUGCUCACGUCGACAGCGGCAAGAUCACUUUUUGUUUUUGCAUUUGUUUUUCUGUGUACCACGGUAUUUUAGUUGGUUCCUGAACUAGUCAGCAAAAAGCCAUCACCGUUGAUUUUGGAUCAAUCUAGGUAGGUUCUCAAUUGUAUUUAACAGCAUGUACUGAACCGAAGAACAUGAUAAAAUUCUUGUCAGGGAAAUCAUCGCCAAUAACCCUUUUGAUGGCACUACAAAAAAGGGUACACCAGCUCGGGGAGCCAAGUGGAAUGCGGUGAUGAAUCAGCUACUGCAGAUAAGAGAACCAUCUUUCAAGGGAACCAGGAGAAGUCAUUGGACAAUGAUGCCAUCUGGAAUGGGACCAAAAUUUUUUGUCAAGCUUGAAACAUGAGGCUUCUUAACAAACAUCUAUCAAUGAACUUGCUGUUGAAGCCAGGUCAGUAGGAAGGUCCACAAAAGUAACUGCUUUAGCUAGCUGAAUAAGUACAGGCUUGCCGUAAGUGGAGACUUGAUCACCCUGGGCCAAAAUAAAUGUUUUAAUUUAUUUCACAUCCAUUUGGUCAAAGUUGGAAUUAGUAGAUGU
Long non-coding RNA from Pocillopora damicornis (cauliflower coral), 578 nucleotides. Lineage: Eukaryota; Metazoa; Cnidaria; Anthozoa; Scleractinia; Pocilloporidae. The record is from RefSeq and is a predicted model, not a curated record.